This is a non-coding RNA of Endogone sp. FLAS-F59071, 72 nucleotides long. Lineage: Eukaryota; Fungi; Mucoromycota; Endogonomycetes; Endogonales; Endogonaceae. The record is from the annotation of a GenBank genome assembly.
GGCUCAAUGGUCUAGUAGUAUGAUUCUCGCUUCGGGUGCGAGAGGUCCCGGGUUCAAUUCCCGGUUGAGCCC